RNAcentral lists this transfer RNA (85 nucleotides) under Candidatus Saccharimonadota bacterium. RNAcentral's name for it is "tRNA-Leu". It matches the Rfam family "tRNA". From Rfam's summary of the family: Transfer RNA (tRNA) molecules are approximately 80 nucleotides in length. The record is from RNAcentral. Lineage: Bacteria; Candidatus Saccharimonadota.
GCGCGGGUGCUGUAAUUGGUAGCCAGGCAUGCUUGAGGUGCAUGUGCCGCAAGGUGUGGAGGUUCAAGUCCUCUCCCGCGCACCA